UCCUAUUUAGUCCUAGAGGGAAAUCAGC
RNAcentral lists this non-coding RNA (28 nucleotides) under Rattus norvegicus (Norway rat). The record is from RNAcentral. Lineage: Eukaryota; Metazoa; Chordata; Mammalia; Rodentia; Muridae.